Molecule: non-coding RNA, 876 nt
Organism: Paramisgurnus dabryanus
Lineage: Eukaryota; Metazoa; Chordata; Actinopteri; Cypriniformes; Cobitidae
Source: RefSeq, a predicted model, not a curated record
UAACAAGCACUUUAUUAAUGCAGGAAUAGCUACUCAGUCGACACUUCAAGCCAACUCCACAGAUAGUGUAACCUCUGUUACAGACUUGUCCAGUGUAAGUUUAAAUAAUAAUUUUAACUUUGUUCCUAUAUCGGUCUUUGAAGUACGAGAGGCACUGUUAGGCUUGGACUGUAAAAAGUCCGCUGGCCAAGACCAGAUUGAGCCAUAUAACUGCUGCAAACUUGAUUGCAGAUCCAAUUUCCUCCAGUUUUAAUCUUAGUUUAUACAGUGGAUCUAUCCCCAAGUCAUGGAAAUCUGCAGUUGUCCUCCCACUGUUAAAAAGUGGAGACCCGUCAGCCUUAGAUAAUUUUGACUGUCUGUCUUGGCGAAAUUGUUUGAGUCUCUUAUAAAUGAGCAAAUAAAAUUUUUUUUGGCUGACAACUGUAUUUUAAGUCCCACUCAGUCUGGUUUCCGGCAAGGACAUAGUAUAAUUAUAUAAUUACGGCUUUAACCUCUGUUAUGAAUGAUAUUGCUAAUGCUUUGGAUGACAAAAAGUCUUGUGUUGCUUUAUUUAUUGAUUUAUCUAAAGCAUUCGACUCUGUUGACCAUCAUCUUCUUCUGCAUAGAUUGCAAAACAUAGGCUUUAGUAGCAAUGUGCUAAAUUGGUUUUCUAAUUACUUGAGUGGUAGAACUCAAUGUGUGGCAUUACAUGACUGUACUUCAACCCUGCUAGACGUAAAAAUGGGUGUUCCUCAAGGAUCAGUUUUGGGCCCUAUUUUAUUUUCUAUUUAUAUAAAUGAUUUAGAAAAUACUAUUAAUUACUUCAUUAACAAAAACAGCUAUUGGUAAAAAGGCUUUCUCAACAUAUGCCCCAAAUGUCUGGAAUGAACUCCAAAA